RNAcentral lists this ribosomal RNA (694 nucleotides) under uncultured Stenotrophomonas sp. RNAcentral's name for it is "bacterial SSU rRNA". It matches the Rfam family "Bacterial small subunit ribosomal RNA", at positions 55 to 736 of the family's 1533-position model. The record is from RNAcentral. Lineage: Bacteria; Pseudomonadati; Pseudomonadota; Gammaproteobacteria; Lysobacterales; Lysobacteraceae.
AUGCAAGUCGAACGGCAGCACAGUAAGAGCUUGCUCUUACGGGUGGCGAGUGGCGGACGGGUGAGGAAUGCAUCGGAAUCUACUCUGUCGUGGGGGAUAACGUAGGGAAACUUACGCUAAUACCGCAUACGACCUACGGGUGAAAGCAGGGGAUCUUCGGACCUUGCGCGAUUGAAUGAGCCGAUGCCCGAUUAGCUAGUUGGCGGGGUAAGAGCCCACCAAGGCGACGAUCGGUAGCUGGUCUGAGAGGAUGAUCAGCCACACUGGAACUGAGACACGGUCCAGACUCCUACGGGAGGCAGCAGUGGGGAAUAUUGGACAAUGGGCGCAAGCCUGAUCCAGCCAUACCGCGUGGGUGAAGAAGGCCUUCGGGUUGUAAAGCCCUUUUGUUGGGAAAGAAAAGCAGCCGGUUAAUACCCGGUUGUUCUGACGGUACCCAAAGAAUAAGCACCGGCUAACUUCGUGCCAGCAGCCGCGGUAAUACGAAGGGUGCAAGCGUUACUCGGAAUUACUGGGCGUAAAGCGUGCGUAGGUGGUUGUUUAAGUCUGUCGUGAAAGCCCUGGGCUCAACCUGGGAAUGGCGAUGGAAACUGGGCGACUAGAGUGUGGCAGAGGGUAGUGGAAUUCCUGGUGUAGCAGUGAAAUGCGUAGAGAUCAGGAGGAACAUCCGUGGCGAAGGCGACUGCCUGGGCCA